AUUAAUUCGAUGCAACGCGAAGAACCUUACCUGGUCUUGACAUGUACGGAACCCUCCAGAGACGGAGGGGUGCCUUCGGGAGCCGUAACACAGGUGCUGCAUGGCUGUCGUCAGCUCGUGUCGUGAGAUGUUGGGUUAAGUCCCGCAACGAGCGCAACCCUUGUCAUUAGUUGCCAUCAUUAAGUUGGGCACUCUAAUGAGACUGCCGGUGACAAGCCGGAGGAAGGUGGGGAUGACGUCAAGUCCUCAUGGCCCUUAUGACCAGGGCUUCACACGUCAUACAAUGGUCGGUACAGAGGAUAGCCAAGCCGCGAGGUGGAGCCAAUCUCACAAAACCGAUCGUAGUCCGGAUUGCACUCUGCAACUCGAGUGCAUGAAGUCGGAAUCGCUAGUAAUCGCAGGUCAGCAUACUG
RNAcentral lists this ribosomal RNA (413 nucleotides) under uncultured beta proteobacterium. Its description in RNAcentral is "bacterial SSU rRNA". It matches the Rfam family "Bacterial small subunit ribosomal RNA", at positions 945 to 1359 of the family's 1533-position model. Lineage: Bacteria; Pseudomonadati; Pseudomonadota; Betaproteobacteria. The record is from RNAcentral.